UACGGAGGGGGCGAGCGUUAUUCGGAAUUAUUGGGCGUAAAGGGCGCGUAGGCGGCUUGACAAGUCAAAGGUGAAAUCCCCGGGCUCAACCCGGGAACUGCGUCCGAUACUGGCAGGCUUGAAUCCGGGAGAGGGAUGCGGAAUUCCAGGUGUAGCGGUGAAAUGCGUAGAUAUCUGGAGGAACACCGGUGGCGAAGGCGGCAUCCUGGACCGGCAUUGACGCUGAGGCGCGAAAGCCAGGGGAGCAAACGGG
RNAcentral lists this ribosomal RNA (253 nucleotides) under uncultured bacterium. RNAcentral's name for it is "partial 16S ribosomal RNA". It matches the Rfam family "Bacterial small subunit ribosomal RNA", at positions 524 to 776 of the family's 1533-position model. The record is from RNAcentral.